Molecule: ribosomal RNA, 253 nt
Filed under: uncultured bacterium
Lineage: Bacteria
Description: partial 16S ribosomal RNA
Rfam family: Bacterial small subunit ribosomal RNA
Source: RNAcentral
UACGGAGGUGGCAAGCGUUGCUCGGAAUCACUGGGCGUAAAGGGCGCGUAGGCGGGGAGGUAAGUCGGGUGUGAAAUCCCUCGGCUCAACCGAGGAACUGCGCCCGAGACUGCUUCUCUUGAGUCCCGGAGAGGAAGGUGGAAUUCCCGGUGUAGCGGUGAAAUGUGUAGAGAUCGGGAGGAACACCGGUGGCGAAGGCGGCCUUCUGGACGGUGACUGACGCUGAGGCGCGAAAGCGUGGGGAGCAAACGGG